AUCUGGGAUCAUAAUUUUCUGCGGUUUAUUUUUUUAAUCACAUAGAAAGAAAAGUGACAUGAAAUCUGACGAUUCCUUCAAUCCAACCAUCAUAUAAACAUUUUUUGGUAGGGAAAAACACAUUUAAAAUACAAAUGUGUUUUCCGGAUGCUAUUAACUGCAUGCCAGGGAUUAAUGCCCAAAAAAGUCGCCAAGGAUGCCACGAUACUUUCAAUGAAAAUGCUAAACACAUGCCAAAGAUUCUUCUCAGAAAGAGGAAAACAUAUUGCUUGCUUUCCUGAAAUCAGCUUCGCGAAAAUUGAUUUGUGUUAAAGACAGAGAUUUACCUUCAUUAUUUAUUUGUUACAUGUUUAAGAUAAAGG
Long non-coding RNA from Argiope bruennichi, 362 nucleotides. RefSeq lists it as uncharacterized. The transcript is spliced from 3 exons. The record is from RefSeq and is a predicted model, not a curated record. NCBI's taxonomy places the organism in Eukaryota, Metazoa, Arthropoda, Arachnida, Araneae, Araneidae.